ACCCUGACUGCUCCCUAAUCCUGGAUGCCAAUGAAGGGUACUCCUCUUCGGAAGCUAUACAAGUUCUCCAGACAUUGCAUGGUGAACAUCUUAAACCUUUCUUGCUACUAAGAUCCUGAAAAUAUAUUUGUGUUUCCCUUUCAAUCUGACAAGUCAUUUCUGGAGACUAUCAAGGGACAGUUUUUCUUCAAAUGAAAUGCAAUGAUUGACUGUAUAGUAAAACCCAGACAUGUAUAAUGCUAAAUGUGUAUGCCAUUAUAUAAGAUGAAUGAUGCAUGUUUCAUAUAUACAGUUUUCUUCUAUGGAUGAUUCUUAUAAUUCAUUGGCAACACAGUUGUACAUUUUUAUGCAGGGUCGUCUGUGUUUGUCUGCAAGACUAAUCGGAUUUCAUUCUGAACUUUUUGGACAUAAGACGAAAUUCUUAUUUCUCUGGGAAGACAUAGAAACCAUUCAGGUGUUCCCACCUACUUUUUCAUCGAUGGUUAGUCCAAUUAUUGUCAUGACUCUACGGCUUGGCAGGGGUCUUGAUGCAAAACAUGGAGCAAAAACUCAUGACGCUGAAGGCAGACUGAAAUUCCAUUUUUCAAUCUUUCGUGUCUUUUAAUGUGGCAUACAGUUUUUAAUGGGAGGAAAAGCUGGACAUCAUGCAUCCGUUUUUGGCAAGUACCGGCUCAAAUAAACGGAUGAUUGCUGCCUGUUGGAAGAAUGUACACAACUCGGAGCUUUGCCCGCUCGUGCAUUCAAACAAGCCUUUGGAAUAUGGCCAUUCCUGUAGGAAAAUCUGGUAGUUGUAGAGAGAUAAAAACCAGUAGAUGAGUUUCAUCUUGA
Daucus carota subsp. sativus is the source of this 828-nucleotide long non-coding RNA. RefSeq lists it as uncharacterized. The transcript has 3 exons. NCBI's taxonomy places the organism in Eukaryota, Viridiplantae, Streptophyta, Magnoliopsida, Apiales, Apiaceae. The record is from RefSeq and is a predicted model, not a curated record.